Molecule: ribosomal RNA, 959 nt
Filed under: Parmotrema perlatum
Lineage: Eukaryota; Fungi; Ascomycota; Lecanoromycetes; Lecanorales; Parmeliaceae
Description: eukaryotic LSU rRNA
Rfam family: Eukaryotic large subunit ribosomal RNA
Source: RNAcentral
GGGAUUGCCUCAGUAACGGCGAGUGAAGCGGCAACAGCUCAAAUUUGAAAUCUGGCUCCUUCGGGGUCCGAGUUGUAAUUUGUAGAGAGUGUUUCGGGGGAGAGCGCGGUCUAAGUCCAUUGGAACAUGGUGUCAUAGAGGGUGAGAAUCCCGUAUGCGACCGCGAAUCGAACCCAUGUGAAGCCUCUUCGACGAGUCGAGUUGUUUGGGAAUGCAGCUCAAAAUGGGUGGUAAAUUUCAUCUAAAGCUAAAUACUGGCUGGAGACCGAUAGCGCACAAGUAGAGUGAUCGAAAGAUGAAAAGCACUUUGGAAAGAGAGUUAAACAGUACGUGAAAUUGUUGAAAGGGAAGCGCUGGCAACCAGACCUGCCCGUAGGCGAUCAGCCGCUGUUCUCAGCGGUGCACUCGCUCUGCGAUCAGGCCAGCAUCGGUUUCGGCGGUCGGAUAAAGGCCUUGGGAAUGUAGCUUCCUUUCGGGGGAGUCUUAUAGCCCUCGGUGCAAUGCGGCCAGCCGGGACCGAGGACCGCGCUUCGGCUAGGAUGCUGGCGUAAUGGUUGUCAGCGACCCGUCUUGAAACACGGACCAAGGAGUCUAACAUCUAUGCGAGUGUUUGGGUGUUAAACCCAUGCGCGGAAUGAAAGUGAACGGAGGUGAGAACCCUGAAGGGCGCAUCAUCGACCGAUCCAGAUGUCUUCGGAUGGAUUUGAGUAUGAGCAUAGCUGUUGGGACCCGAAAGGUCAGUACCAAAACCCCCCUUUGUUCUAAUGAAUCUAUGCUAACGUGUCUAACAGAUGGUGAACUAUGCCUGAAUAGGGUGAAGCCAGAGGAAACUCUGGUGGAGGCUCGCAGCGGUUCUGACGUGCAAAUCGAUCGUCAAAUUUGGGUAUAGGGGUAAGAUUUGGUCCUAAAAAUUAUCCACAUUCAAUGCUAACCCUUUAAUAUAGGCGAAAGACUAAUCG